UGCUUGUGAGUUUAAAUGGGUGGGGUGCUAAGUAUAUCUUGUUUACCUUAUCUUUUAGUGGAAAAAGUUUUGAAGUCAAGAUGGGUUUGUCACAUCAUGCCUGUUGCCUAGCACUACCAAAGUGUCCUUAUCUAGCAACAGAGAAUAGGUUGAGGUUCUAUCUUGGC
Non-coding RNA from Choloepus hoffmanni (Hoffmann's two-fingered sloth), 167 nucleotides. The record is from Rfam. NCBI's taxonomy places the organism in Eukaryota, Metazoa, Chordata, Mammalia, Pilosa, Megalonychidae.